This 553-nucleotide ribosomal RNA is filed under the name Potamochoerus porcus (red river hog). RNAcentral's name for it is "partial 16S ribosomal RNA". It matches the Rfam family "Bacterial large subunit ribosomal RNA", at positions 1816 to 2597 of the family's 2925-position model. The record is from RNAcentral. Lineage: Eukaryota; Metazoa; Chordata; Mammalia; Artiodactyla; Suidae.
CACCUCUAGCAUUACCAGUAUUAGAGGCAAUGCCUGCCCAGUGACAUCAGUUUAACGGCCGCGGUAUUCUGACCGUGCAAAGGUAGCAUAAUCACUUGUUCUCUAAAUAAGGACUUGCAUGAAUGGCCACACGAGGGUUUUACUGUCUCUUACUUCCAAUCAGUGAAAUUGACCUUCCCGUGAAGAGGCGGGAAUAAAAAAAUAAGACGAGAAGACCCUAUGGAGCUUUAAUUAACUAAUCUAAAAGUUAAACAACUUAACCACAAAGGGAUAACAUUAAACUUAAUAUAGAUUAGCAAUUUUGGUUGGGGUGACCUCGGAGCACAAAAAACCCUCCGAGUGAUUUUAAUCUAGACAGACCAGUCAAAACAGCUAUAAAUAUCACUUAUUGAUCCAAAAUUUUGAUCAACGGAACAAGUUACCCUAGGGAUAACAGCGCAAUCCUAUUAUAGAGUUCCUAUCGACAAUAGGGUUUACGACCUCGAUGUUGGAUCAGGACACCCAAAUGGUGCAACCGCUAUUAAAGGUUCGUUUGUUCAACGAUUAAAGUCCU